RNAcentral lists this long non-coding RNA (303 nucleotides) under Mytilus galloprovincialis (Mediterranean mussel). Lineage: Eukaryota; Metazoa; Mollusca; Bivalvia; Mytilida; Mytilidae. The record is from RNAcentral.
CAUAGAUAGAGAUAAACUGUAAACAGCAAAAAUGUUCAGUAAAGUAAGAUCUACAAAUAAGUCAAACAGGACCAAAAUGGUCUGUUGACCCCUUUAGGAGUUAUUGCCCUUUAUAGUCAAUUUUUAACCAUUUUUCGUAAAUCUUAGUCAUCUUUUACAAAAAUCUUCUCCUCUACAACUACUGGGCCAAAUUAAACCAAACUUGGCCACAAUCAUCAUUGGGGUAUCUAGUUUAAAAAUUGUGUCCGGUGACCUGGCCAACCAACCAAGAUGGCCGCCAUGGCUAAAAAUAGAACAUAGGGG